Molecule: long non-coding RNA, 665 nt
Organism: Danio aesculapii
Lineage: Eukaryota; Metazoa; Chordata; Actinopteri; Cypriniformes; Danionidae
Exons: 2
Source: RefSeq, a predicted model, not a curated record
AAGAUCUCAGAUCAGCACAAACACCAGCUCCUCAUCUCAUCAUCAUCACAUCACAUCAUGAUGAAGAUUCUGGCUCUCGCUCUGCUGGUGGCGGCUCUGCAGACUCUGUCGUAUGCACAGGCACAAAGUUUAACCACAGUGUCUACAACUACUAGAUCUACUACACUGACCAGCAAUUCUGUACACAACUCCACCAAUGGUCCGCCGGUCCUGGCGGCUCUGAUCCACCUGCUGGUUCUUCCCGUAUUUGUGUUUCUGUGGUGGCUCUGAGAAGAUCUACAGAUUCUGCUCCUCUUCUCUUUUAUUUUGCUGUUUUUACAUGUAGGGUUAACAGCUGGAAUUAUUAUUAGACAUUAAUACUGUUAAUGACAAGAAAUAAAAGAUAUUUCAUACAACUGAAAAACUGGACUGUGACUGACGCUGAUUCUCAAAUGUUAAUCUGAAAACAUGGCUCAUUUACUUCUGUACUUUAUAAGCUGAUCAUAGAGGAUUCAUACAUUAUAACUACUGAAUAAGACUGAAUAAACAAGCAUGAGGAGGAUUGAUGAAGAAACUCUACUGGUUUUAGAGUAAAAUCAGCUUUGCUUAUUGUGAAUAUAUCAGUUCUCCAUUAAAGAUUGAUUGAAAGCUGUAAUUGUUUUAAUAAAGCACAAUAUUUCUCUGUU